RNAcentral lists this small RNA (97 nucleotides) under Arabidopsis thaliana (thale cress). Its description in RNAcentral is "ATSL100750". The record is from RNAcentral. Lineage: Eukaryota; Viridiplantae; Streptophyta; Magnoliopsida; Brassicales; Brassicaceae.
AUAAAAAAUUAAAAUAUCAUGAGACGAGAAGUAUAGCAGGACGGGUUUAGAUUGAUAUGAAAUACAGCGAGACGGAUUUGGAUUGAUAUAUUAAUUU